CCUACGGGGGGCAGCAGUCGAGAAUCAUUCACAAUGGGGGAAACCCUGAUGGUGCGACGCCGCGUGGGGGAAUGAGGUUCUUCGGAUUGUAAACCCCUGUCAUGUGGGAGCAAAUUAAAAAGAUCGUACCACAAGAGGAAGAGACGGCUAACUCUGUGCCAGCAGCCGCGGGAAUACAGAGGUCUCAUGCGUUGUUCGGAAUCACGGGGGGUAAAGCGUGCGGGGGCUGUUUCGUAAGUCGUGUGUGAAAGGCGCGGGCUCAACCCGCGGACGGCACAUGAUACUGCGAGACUAGAGUGAUGGAGGGGGAGCCGGAAUUCUCGGUGUAGCAGUGAAAUGCGUAGAUAUCGAGAGGAACACUCGUGGCGAAGGCGGGUUCCUGGACAUUAACUGACGCUGAGGCACGAAGGCCAGGGGAGCGAAAGGGAUUAGAUACCCCUGUAGUC
Molecule: ribosomal RNA, 446 nt
Filed under: uncultured bacterium
Lineage: Bacteria
Description: partial 16S ribosomal RNA
Rfam family: Bacterial small subunit ribosomal RNA
Source: RNAcentral